AGACGUGCUUGCUUCCCCUUCGCCUUCUGCCAUAAUUGUCAGUUUCCUGAGGCCUCUCCAGCCACGCUUCCUGUACAGCCUACAGAACUGACUCCUAGAAGUACCCCACCCCCGACCCCCACCGCUGCUCCUAGGAGGACAACGUGAUCACUGUAUUCAGCUCCACCAAGAACGGUCCAGGUUCUUCUAGAUGAUCUUCACAAAUGGCUCCUCUCCUCCUUCCUGGUGUCUGCCAUUAGCAUUGGAAUAAAGUUCCUGCUGAAAAUCCA
Long non-coding RNA from Nomascus leucogenys (northern white-cheeked gibbon), 269 nucleotides. RefSeq lists it as uncharacterized. The record is from RefSeq and is a predicted model, not a curated record. NCBI's taxonomy places the organism in Eukaryota, Metazoa, Chordata, Mammalia, Primates, Hylobatidae. The transcript has 2 exons.